ACAAGGUUUCCGUAGGUGAACCUGCGGAAGGAUCAUUACCGAGUGAGGGCCCUCUGGGUCCAACCUCCCACCCGUGUUUAUUUUACCUUGUUGCUUCGGCGGGCCCGCCUUAACUGGCCGCCGGGGGGCUUACGCCCCCGGGCCCGCGCCCGCCGAAGACACCCUCGAACUCUGUCUGAAGAUUGUAGUCUGAGUGAAAAUAUAAAUUAUUCAAAACUUUCAACAACGGAUCUCUUGGUUCCGGCAUCGAUGAAGAACGCAGCGAAAUGCGAUACGUAAUGUGAAUUGCAAAUUCAGUGAAUCAUCGAGUCUUUGAACGCACAUUGCGCCCCCUGGUAUUCCGGGGGGCAUGCCUGUCCGAGCGUCAUUGCUGCCCUCAAGCACGGCUUGUGUGUUGGGCCCCGUCCUCCGAUCCCGGGGGACGGGCCCGAAAGGCAGCGGCGGCACCGCGUCCGGUCCUCGAGCGUAUGGGGCUUUGUCACCCGCUCUGUAGGCCCGGCCGGCGCUUGCCGAUCAACCCAAAUUUUUAUC
This 531-nucleotide ribosomal RNA is filed under the name Penicillium commune. Its description in RNAcentral is "eukaryotic LSU rRNA". The stretch from base 215 to 367 matches the Rfam family "5.8S ribosomal RNA". The record is from RNAcentral. Lineage: Eukaryota; Fungi; Ascomycota; Eurotiomycetes; Eurotiales; Aspergillaceae.